This 573-nucleotide ribosomal RNA is filed under the name uncultured bacterium. RNAcentral describes it as "partial 16S ribosomal RNA". It matches the Rfam family "Bacterial small subunit ribosomal RNA", at positions 355 to 920 of the family's 1533-position model. The record is from RNAcentral.
UGGGGAAUUUUGGACAAUGGGCGAAAGCCUGAUCCAGCAAUGCCGCGUAGUGUGAAGAAGGCCUUCGGGUUGUAAAGCACUUUUGUCCGGAAAGAAAUCCUUGGCUCUAAUACAGUCGGGGGAUGACGGUACCGGAAGAAUAAGCACCGGCUAACUACGUGCCAGCAGCCGCGGUAAUACGUAGGGUGCAAGCGUUAAUCGGAAUUACUGGGCGUAAAGCGUGCGCAGGCGGUUUGCUAAGACCGAUGUGAAAUCCCCGGGCUCAACCUGGGAACUGCAUUGGUGACUGGCAGGCUAGAGUAUGGCAGAGGGGGGUAGAAUUCCACGUGUAGCAGUGAAAUGCGUAGAGAUGUGGAGGAAUACCGAUGGCGAAGGCAGCCCCCUGGGCCAAUACUGACGCUCAUGCACGAAAGCGUGGGGAGCAAACAGGAUUAGAUACCCUGGUAGUCCACGCCCUAAACGAUGUCAACUAGUUGUUGGGGAUUCAUUUCCUUAGUAACGUAGCUAACGCGUGAAGUUGACCGCCUGGGGAGUACGGUCGCAAGAUUAAAACUCAAAUGAAUUGACGGGGUC